GACUAUGAGAUUCGCUCCCGGAGGAGGUC
Molecule: non-coding RNA, 29 nt
Filed under: Bombyx mori (domestic silkworm)
Lineage: Eukaryota; Metazoa; Arthropoda; Insecta; Lepidoptera; Bombycidae
Source: RNAcentral